This is a long non-coding RNA of Lynx canadensis (Canada lynx), 6576 nucleotides long. RefSeq lists it as uncharacterized. The transcript has 4 exons. Lineage: Eukaryota; Metazoa; Chordata; Mammalia; Carnivora; Felidae. The record is from RefSeq and is a predicted model, not a curated record.
AAAUAAACAUUAAAACAAUUUUUUUAAGAAAAAAAAUUUAAAAAGACCCAAAAAGAACAAACUGCAAGUAACUUUUAAAUGCACCAUAGAACAAACCUCAUGAAUAUUUGUAUAAAAACAAAACGAUCCAGAACUCAAUAGAGUAAAAUUCAUGACUGGCAAAAACAAAAAACAAACAAAAAUACCCCCCAAACCAUUAUACCCUUGCAAAGCAAUAAUAAAAUAUAAGCCACAUUGAGGAGAAAAAAAACCCCAAUAAAUUGAAACUGGACUAGAACUAAUAAAAUGUUAAAAUCAACAAAUGAGGACAUUGAUACUGUUAGUACAACUAUAUUACAUAUGUUCAAAGAGUUGAGAAGAGGCAUGGAAGAUAUAAAUCCACCCAAUUUGAAAUUCUAAACAUAAAAAGUUUGAUGUGUGAGAUGAAAAAAAAAUCUGAAUGCGAUUAAGCAAGUUAGGAGACAUUAAAAAGGAAAUAUUUUAGAAUGGUUAAACUUGAAAAUGUUGACCACACCAAAUGUUGAUAACGAAGUAGAGAAACUGGAUAUCUCGUGAACUGCUUAUGGGAAUGUCCAAUAAUAUAACUACUUUGAGAGAUUGACAGUUUCUUAAUCUGUUUAACAUAUGUGUGCAAUAUAAUCUAGUCACUCCACUCUUCAGCCUUUUCCCAAAGAAAAUGAAAGCCUACAUCCCUACAAAGAAUUGGGCACAAGUUCACACAAUAGCUUUAUUUGUAAUAUUCCACUAAAAAGACCAAAAUGCCUAUCAACAGGUUAAUGGGUUGGCAAACUUUGGUAUGUCCAUGUAAUGGAUACUUGUCAGCAAGAAAAAGGAACGAACUAUUGAUAUAUGCUACAAAAUGGAUGAAUAUUAACAUCGUUAUGCUGAGUGGUAGAAUCGAGACAAGAAAGCAUACAUACAGUAUGAUUCCAGUUAUAUAAAAUUCUAGAACAUAAAAACUAAUCUAUAGUGACAGAAAGCCUAUUAGUUGUUGCUUCGAGAAGGGGGAGGAGGGACAGAGAAGGUUGAGUGGGAAUGACUGCAAGGAUCCGUUGGUGGGUAUUGAUAUACUCAUGAUCUUGAUUGUGGUGAUGGUUCACGGUAGGUACACAUGAAAACUAAUCAAAUUGUAUACUUUUAAUAUGUGCAGUAUAUUGUGUGGUGUUAAAAAAAAAAAGAGGAACCUGGAGAACAAAGGUUUUACAGGGAGUCAUAGGUAGAACUAUUAAAGUCAUAUUUCCUUUUUCUAUAAUGCAUUUCCUUUAUUCUUAAAAGUAUUUGAAAACAACAUUGAUUAUUAGAUGUAGUGUCAUGUGUAAAUGCAAUCCAUAAUAAUUUACAGUUCUGUCCUACUUCUUCCAAAAUCAAAGCACAACUGCAACUGUUAUUCACACGGAUGUUGAAAGGCUGGGAGUCCACAUGUUGAUGGAGCCACCAUAGCCAUGGUUACAAUAUUGCUUAUUGUGGACUCCGUGACAACAAAGGAUGUGCGAUGAAAAUUCACUAGUCUAUACAGUAAUAUGCACUUCACACAGUGUUUGGAGUUUCUCACAUUUUAUCUUAGAGCCACCUGCAAGCUCAUUAAACACAGAUAUCUGGGACCCAUUACCAGUUUCUGACUGAGUAGGUCUGGUAGGGGGCUGAAAAUUUUACAUCUCUACCAAACUUACAGAUGAUGCUGAUGAAGUUGCUCGAGGGACCACACUUUAAGAAUCACUAAGAUAAAUGCCCUAGACAAAAAGACAAGGAAUCCCUUCAUGCAGUUGAAUUUAAUUAUUCAUUUGGGUUUGGAUUUAAAUAUGUCCAGGUGGCAGAGAGCAAGCAAGCAUCUGAGCAGCCCAGGGGAAAUACCCCUGUCAGAUGCUCAUCCGUCCUUUCCUGUUUCCUGGAUCCAUUUAGCUCACCACAAACCUAUUUUGUAGGUGUAGGAGUCACACACAGAUCUUUCUACUUUUCAAAUUUAAAAUGUUUAAUGGUAGUCAAAGGUAGCACCGUGUGCAGUUGAAUCCUCGCAGAACCAAUGAAGAUCAUUGUCCACUUGUAAGUUCAACAAGGUGUUUAAACGCCUGUCCUAUGUCACACUCUGUGUUAGGUACUUGAUAUUCAGUGGUGAGCAAGUUGGGCACGGUCUUUACCUCUUGGAAAUUCCUGUCUAUUGGAAAAAUUGUCAUUAUAUCAAUAAUCAUCCAAAUAAAAGAGCACAAUUAUGACAAAUGUACAGAAGGAGAGCUGUAAAUAUUAUUGACAAAAAUAAUGUUCCUGUGAAGACAAUACAUGUAAUUCUAUAACUUGAUUGGAUCUGUAUCUGCCUCCAAUUCUAAUGAUAAUUUCUGAUAUAGUUUGCACUGGUCAAUUCUAGCAGACAAUUUUAAAGCGUAUGGCACUCCACCUCCCAUUUACAUUUUCAUUGCCUUUGGUUUUAUCCCUGAAUUUGUAUCUUCUUUCUCUUGUAAGUUGAUUUAACUUCUACCUUUUAUUACUUUUAUAUUUUUAGAAGUUAUGGUGUCAGUUUAUUUAAUGUUUAUCUUUUCUUUGACUGAUUUCAUCUCAACCAAAAUAGAUCUCUUGUUUAAUUUGUUAUUGUACAUUUGGAAGAGAAUCAGAUUUUCUGAGCUUCACUAAAUUACUUCUUCUUUUACAAGACAAAUGCUUCACAGGAGACCUGAAUAGUUCAUGAAAGCAAAAGGAAGGCAAAUCUCCUUAUUGACCAAAAAUUACACUAACAAUUCAACAGACGAACUUCAACAGAUGAUGAGCAAAGUUGCUAAUUAAUAAACUGUGGAGUUUAAAAAAUAGAGGGGACUAUAAAUUAAACAUUGAGCUACAUUCCUGACUUUGUACAUGACCAUGAGAAUGUCAACUCUCAACUAUCCUCAGACUUUCAUCUAAACAAGAAGAAACACGUGAACUACAACGGUAAAUAUGAGGAACAAAGACUGAUGGAAGAGGAAGCAAAAAGGCAAUGGAGGAAAUAUUUUAGGAAAUUAUGGUAUAAAAAGUAGAAAAGAGGAGAGGUAGAAAGGAAUUAUUCAAGAAAAUAUAAAAGGGAAAAAGUCAGUAUUAGACAUUCAGAUUCAACAGAUAUUUUUGAACCUCUGUGGGCGUGCCUGUGUGCUGGGCUCUGAACAAAAUGAAAAAGGCCUCUGCUUCCAAGGAACUUAUAUUGUAGUUGUUGCGCAUCAGUUAAGAUUAGGUGGUCUGUAUGAGAAAAAUGUGUGAAAAGAUUUUAAAAGUCAUAUUUUUUUUCUUUAACCCAAAAUAAAACUGAACUUAACCCAGUGUUGGUUAAAUUCUACCCUGAAGGCAAUCAUUGUUCAAAACAGCUGCUGUGGCCCCAGCUUCCCCAUCCAUUACCAGACAGCAAAAAAGGGGAAGAGAAAAUAAAGCCAAAGGGAAAUAUUAUCCCUUAAGGAACUGACCAUACUAGGAGUCUCUUCCCAAAACUUUCAACUUCUAACUCAUUAGUCAGGGUUUAGUCAUGUUGAAACCUUUAGCAUAUAUGGAAGAGUGGGAAAUAAAAUAUUUUUGUUGGGCAUAUCACUGCUCCAAAUAAUACUCGUUGUUUGCUCUUAAAGCAGAAAGCAAGAAUGGAUAUCAUGUAGGGAUCCAGUUGGCUCUGCCAUGGAUAGAAAUGUGAACAAUGUGAUCUUUGAUUAUUAUUUUAUAUUUAUUUGCUUCUUAAGGUCUUCAAACCAUGGAUAUAUUUAUAAUGAUAAAAAAAAGAGACUUAUGUUGCCUGAGUCUAUUUUCUCCUAGUUGGCCCUAUCAGUUAUUGUUCAUCUAAAUCUACUUUUCCUUUUUUCCAUUCCCUAAGAGCUUACUUGUUUUUAGUGGAACUGGGAAAAUUGUUUAAACUCCAACGUGACUCACAGAACUACUUGCAGAUGUUGCCUUUGAACAUUUGGAGACUAAUGAGAGCUGCACACUAAUCUCAUUAGAUUAUUCACAAAUAAAAACAAUAAUUUUAUAUUCUUAAUAGUUUAAGAUCCAGAGAUUUGGCACAAGACACUGCCAAUUCAACCCUAUUUCCAGUUACUCAUACUGAGGACAUAUCUAAAUAAGUUCCAGAAGCACCUUAAAGUUUCAAUCCCAUUAUAAUUCCUGUGGCUAAUUACUGGUGGCAGAAGGACUGAGUUUCUCUUUCACAUAUUAGUUUUGGAAAGUUAAACUCUGUUAGAGUACUAAUAAGGAGUAUGCUGAUUGCUUCUCAGCUCCUACUUCCCUCCCUCACACUAUUAGAAAAUAAACGAAUGGUUAAAUCUUUCUCUGAAUCAAUCAUGCAAUUUCCUGAGCACAGGAGCUUUACAAUUUGCAGUAUGCUUUUCCCUGUAGUAUCUCACUUUAUUCUCAUACUUUCCCUGUAAAGUAUAACAAUUUGCAGUUAUUACCCACAUUGUACCGUAUCUGAGGGUCUGAGGAGUGACCUGAAUUGUUCAAGUCACUUGGCCUGUAAAGUUUGAACUAUGACAGAUUAAAAAACAUUUUUUCACUAUAAUUAAUGUCCUUUUAAUCUACCCACAAAUUUUCAGUAAAAUUAUUUUCCUAUGUUGCUGUUACCAAUACAGAAGAAAAAAACAAAAAAACAAAAAUUUUCUAUGUUGCUUCUGCAUUCCCCUCUUUUAAUUACAUUCAUACACACUUUCACAUCUCUCCCUUUUCUUCCCUUCCAGAGCAAUUUGUUUUGUAGCGAUCCCUUAAUUAAUGCCCGUUCUUCACCCAUUGGUAUAAAGGGCAGGAAUGAAAUAUCAAAACUUGCUUUGUAAUUGUAGAUUCACUCCUGCUGCGAGGCUGAAUGAAAGGAAUAAAAUUUCAAUUAAGCAAUUACGGAGGAGUGCCGCUGAAAGCCUCAGGGGUGCAACUGUUCCUCUCCAUGAUUUUUGCAGCCCUCAUUGACCAUAUGUUGAAUUUCCAUUUUCCAUGGUUUCCUCUCAGGCGGAAAUCUCCACAUAUUGACAUGUGUGUAAUGGAGGAGCACCACGUGAGGCCCAGUUUUGUAUUUAUCCAAGCCCACUUGCUUCAAUGUCUGUGACAAGAGUAGAAUGGGUACCAGCAAGAGGCCGGACAUUUUCGAUGCCCUGUCAAAGCCUGGCUGUUCUUGGUCCUGUGAUGAUAUGGAAAUGGCUCCCUUCUUAUUGUGCAAGCCAAGCUCACAUGUGGAUUAGCCCUUUGAACACCAAGUCCCUUUCUUUGCUUUCAUUGUUUAGUACUUGUAAGCCAGAACCUGCAUAAAGAGUAGGCAUUCCCGUUUCCAACCACGUAGACUGACUUCAGAAAGCCUAAGAGAGGCGAGCUCAUAGAGUCACGUUGUCUCCAAGAUACCAAAGGAGCCAAGUUUGAUUGUGUUUUCCUGUCUUUCAACUCAUAGACUUCAGGUUCCUGCGAGUUGUGAGCACAAACUAUCACUCUAUAGAUACUCAAGGCACUUGGAAUCAGUCACCACAUGUCUAACCCACUGGAAUUAAUUUGGAGUAACAACAUGUUCUGUGGAUAUUUCUUAGUUGCUUUUUUUUUUUUUCAGUGCCUUUGCUCUGAGAUUAUAAAGCACAUAAUUUUAAAAAUUCUAAUAGUUCUAAAUGUGAAAAUAAUGCUUUAAUACUAAUGUAAUAUACUAGUACUACUAAUAUGCUACAUUUACAUUACAAUUCAAAUUUGUCAUGUCAUUAUUGUUUCUUUGCAUUGCUGACCUUGAUGUUAAGAAACAGAAACAUGUGGAAGCAGUAGUGAUCUUUUGUAACAUUAUUUUAUGAAAGGGGAUCUAGGAUUCUGAAGCAGAAGUAUUCAGGAGUUUGUUUUUAAAUGUUAAUACCAUUGUCAAUAUACUCUAGAACUUAAAAAAUGUUACAAAGAGUGCUGAAGAAAGAACUUUAUUUUUUAAAAACAUGCAAAAUAAAAAGGAAUAUUCAUUGAAUCUUCUCCAGUCCCUAUCCCUAAUACCUGAGCCUGCAGAAGUGAACACAGACCGCACUAUCCUUUGCAAACAGGGUUUCGAGGGCUCCCUGUUGGACCAAGCCCAGUGUCCUCACUGGUGCAUUCCAAACUGUAAUGGUCUGAUCCAUGCUUUGUUUAACUUCUCUAUUUCCACUGUCUCACUUAAGUUCCAGUAAUAGCAUUUUACUGAAUUUUCCUGAAUAGUUUUAAGCUCCUACAUAAUUUUCCUAAAUUGCUUCAGCCUACAAUGAUCUUCCUUUCUUAUGGAUUGAAUUGUGUUCCCCCCAAAAGAUACGUUGAAGUUAUAACCCCCAGUAUCUCAGAAUGUGACCUUAUUGUGAAAUAAGGUUAAUGUAGAUGUGAUUAGUUAGGGUAGGUGGGCCACUAAUACAGUGCGCUUGUGCGCUUACUCAUAAGACAAUGGCCAUAAGAAGGUUCAAACACACAGGGAGAAGUGAUGUAUCUAUAAUGACUGCCAACCAUCACCAAAAGCCAGGUGAGAGACAUGGAGCAGAUUCUCCCUCAUGAAAAAACCCUUAGAAAAAACCAACCCUAUAGACACUUUGAUUGUGGACUUCCAGCUUCCAGAAAUAUGAGAGAAUACAUUUUUGGUGUUUUAAGCUACCCAACGUGUGGUGUUUUAUUACA